Taeniopygia guttata (zebra finch) is the source of this 555-nucleotide long non-coding RNA. The record is from Ensembl. Lineage: Eukaryota; Metazoa; Chordata; Aves; Passeriformes; Estrildidae.
GAAAGAUUUGGGGUGGAGGCAGCAGGAGAGGCUGUGAGCUUCCUCCUUUCCAGCUCUGCAUUGGAGUGUCUCUGCCUGAAGCUGGCCCUACCCUUGGAACACCUGCUCCUUCUCUCCAAGCUGUGCUCGUUGGGUUUGCAUGCCCUGGAUGAAACCGAACUGACACAGUGCUGCUUUUGCAAUGGUGUUCAAAGCCUGCAAUGAAGGCACACGGCUGCUGCUAAUGGAGCAGUAAGAGCAGGCAGCAGGGCAGUACCUGAAUGUGCUGGAUGGGAUGACCCACCUUGGUGACUGUGAGCCAGGAUGUGUGAGCAGCUGGUGUCCUGGACACCAGGGUGCUUGCAGAGUUAAUGUUUGACUGACCUGUGUGUCAGGUGACCUCUUGCAGUUUAGAAGUCAAGUCAUGCAUGGAGUCAACCAAGGAAGAAAUCAUGUGGAGAGGUGGGGUGAGGUACUUGGCCAAGAGGCAAAGCAAAUAAAUGAUGAAUGAGUUAAAACAACACUUCAGGUUAUAACCAGAAGGGAGGCUCUGCUGAGAAGCUGUCUCUAGUCUCU